Molecule: ribosomal RNA, 53 nt
Filed under: Alternaria sp. ZH7-C2
Lineage: Eukaryota; Fungi; Ascomycota; Dothideomycetes; Pleosporales; Pleosporaceae
Description: partial 28S ribosomal RNA
Source: RNAcentral
GGAUCAGGUAGGGAUACCCGCUGAACUUAAGCAUAUCAAUAGCCGGAGGAAAA